AUAACAGGUCAGUGAUGCCCUUAAAUGAAAUGGGCGACACGCGCACUACAAUAGAAUGAUAUAUUAUUCUAAGGAGUUGGGAUUAUUAAUAUGUAAAUUUAAUAUGAACAAGGAAUUCCUAGUAAUAUUUUUUUUGUGAUGUUAACAACGAGAUAUGAAUAUGUCCCUGUCCUUUGUACACACCGCCCGUCGUUA
This 195-nucleotide ribosomal RNA is filed under the name Astathelohania contejeani. RNAcentral's name for it is "Thelohania contejeani partial small subunit ribosomal RNA". It matches the Rfam family "Microsporidia small subunit ribosomal RNA", at positions 1009 to 1204 of the family's 1311-position model. The record is from RNAcentral. Lineage: Eukaryota; Fungi; Microsporidia; Astathelohaniidae.